GGUCCGAGCCGAGCCGGGCCGAGCCGGGCCGAGCCGAGCCGAGCCGGGCCGAGCCGAGCCGAGCCGAGCCGAGCCGGGCGGAGCCGAGCCGAGCAGGGGCUUCAGGACUGGAAAAGCUGGCGGCGGGCGCCCUCUACGGAUUCCGCGGAGCCCAGCGUCGCAGCCCGCUCUGGGGCGGCAGCGCGCGUCCGUGGAUUAAGGCGCGCGCAAAUCAGGGUCCACGCGUCGCGGAGUACUACUCGGCCGCGAAGAAGAUGUGGCGCAAAUCUUCUGCAGGACAACAGCCGCAGCUCGAGCCCUCGUGGCUACCUGAAGCGGUCAGGCCCCGAGACCCAAGCGAAAUGGUACGAGGCCCGCGGGGCCCUUGGCGACUCCCGGGGAGCUCUGCCGCCCAGACUCGGGGAGAAAAGGGAGGAGAAAAACUCCAGGGGGACGCAGGGACGCGGGUCCCGGGCGGCAGGGAUCCGACAGUAUAGCGGCCUGCCCGAUCUACGGGGCCGGUCCCCAGCGGCCGCGCAGAGCUCUGCUGCCCUCCUGUGGUGAAGCGGGUCGUGCGCGUGUAACACCGGGCACGACUCACCUGAGCAGGCAGGAAAGUGUGCAUGUGUGCGUGCAAAGGUGUGCGUGCAAAGGUGUGCGUUCUUCCCCGCUGAGCUUCCGAAGAAAAAUAUUCAUACUAAAAAUCAUCUCACGUUUUUAAAAACUGUUUUGCUACUAUUUGCACGAAAGGUGAUUUUGGCAGUAUUUUAUGCUGGGCGUGAUGGCACCCACGUGUAAUCCCAGCAAUUCAGGAGGCCGAGGCAGGAGGAUCACCGCGAGUCUGAGGCCAGCCUGGAAUGCAAAGUGAGACCCUGUUUUAAAAUAAAGCAGUUAAAAAUGUGAAUUCUGCUUGCAGCUCAGCUGCUGAGGAAAUUGUGUGCCCUCGCUCUGUCUGACCUGGCUGCUGAGCUGGGACUUGCUGGCUUUUCCUUGCUGCGCUGGCUGCGGCUCCUGGACACGCUCUUGGCGAUGAGCGCUGGUGUUUGGGGAGGGCCUGGUUGGAGGUGGUCCUGGGGGUCAGGACCCAGAAGGGCAUUCGCAGCGCUGUUCUCCUCUGUUCCCGGCCAGCAUGCUGCCAGUGGUUCCACCUAGGAGCCCCCGAUCCGGACGGAAGCCCUGGAGCCGUGAGCCGCUGUCCCUCCAGGCCGCAACGAUGGCGCUGACCCCGGCACAGGCUGUCUGUGUGAGCUGGAGCUGGGGCCCGGCUAGUGCACCAGGAGGGGAGCGGGCAAGGCCCUGGGCCACGGAAUACCGUGGCCGGAGAAGCCCGUGCCCAGCCACUUCCUGCCUGUCCCUGGUAGCCCAGUUUGACAGACGCCGUGAUGGCUGCUGGGCGUGCAGUAGGUGCAGGGGCAUCGGUGCGUGGCAGAGCCCGGGGGAGAUGCCCACUUGGUGGCCAGCGUGAGAAGGGGCGGCAAGUGGCAGGGCAGCACCCUGGGCCCCCUGGGCCUUGAGUCUCAGUUCUGCCCUCCAGGGCUGCCAGCUGUCAAUUCCGUGGUUAGUUCCUUUGCUACCCUUCAGUAAUAACUUGUUUUUGUUUCAUUCGUGGAUACAGGGUCUUGAUGUGUAGCCCAGCCGGCCCCAAAGUCACAGCAGUUCUCCUGCCUCAGCCUCCCGAGCGUCACACCCAGCCAACUCUUUUGCGCCAAACCCAGCCAACUCUUUUUAAAGUUCUGUGGGAUUUUUUGCUAUGGAUAUAUUUUGCUUCUCCUGGUUUUACUUUCUGUAGCUUAAUAGCUUGCAAUGUUAUUCGUAUUUACACUUGUUAUUCGUGGUUUGAUGACAGAGGAAGCUGACAGGAGGAAACGGUACGUGUGUCUCUCAGUGGCUGGGCUCGGUCCAUGGAUAAUGAGGCAGUGUCUUCAGUUCUGGGGCACUAGGAAGGCUCCAGGCCUCUGCACGCCCGGCCGCUUCUCUGUGUUUAAAUUUGGAGACAGGGCCACACCUGUGAUGCCUGACCAGGUGGCACAGACCUGUCAUCUCAGUAACACAGAAGGCUGAGGCAGGAGGUUAACACAUUAGAGGUUAGUCUGCACACCUUAGUGAGCCCCUAUCCCAAAAUAAAACAGGCCGGGACGCAUCUCGGUAGAGAACUCGCCCAGCAAGCACGAAGCCCUGGGCUCAGUCCAGGGACAACCUUUAAAAAACUGCGAUUCAGGAAAAACAGUUCCAUCCCGACUGUGUGAAGUGUGGGUGCCACCACCAGGCUGAGCUCUCAGGGUCAGGCUGGGGCGCCAGGUGGCCAGCUAGGGGCCGCCGGCAUGGGCACCAGUGUUCCUGACCCUAUGGCAACAGCAACCAAAGCAAAUGACAGAAUCAUGGAUGCCCAUAGACAAACACCCAGGGGAGCUGCUGGGUUGAGCGACCCUGUAGAUGUCUGCAAGUGGGGGGCAGAUCCUCUAGUUUUGGAUGUAAGCUUGUUUUUUUGCCUUUUUUGCAGACUAUGAAUAACUGUCUGGAUUUCUGCAGCUCUCGGCAGCAGCUGCCGGCUGUGGCCCUGUGCAUGCCAGUUCUGCUUUAGCCUCUGAGCAGCUGGAUCCCCAGGUUAGGCUUCACUGUGGAGUGCUGACCUAAAGUCUGAUGCGCAGCAGCACCCUCUUCCUGUACCCUUGAAUGGUGGCCAGCGAGCCAGGAGAGGAUGCCCCGGCCUGGAUGCCUGUCCCUGAGGCUGGGCCAUCUACUCAGGAACUGCUUCUGCUGCAUGGAUGCUUUUGGAAGCGGCCUUAGCCUGCACCCCCUAAACCUCCACCCGCCAAGUCCCAGAGCUCCCCAGGCUCCAAGAUGAGGACCACCAGGUCAUUUUUAUUCCAGAGAUUUCUGCCAAACCAGUCCUGAAGGGGCUGCAAACUGAAUGCUUCUCUCCUGACCUUAGGAAAGCGGCGUCCAGAGUAAGUAAUGAGACCAUUAGAGAAAGGAGAACCAGCAGUUCUCAGUCUUGGAACCAUGUUUAAGCAGAGUGAGUCCAACCCAGCUGUUACCGCGGGAGGAGACCAAGGAGCAGAAUGCUUUCAGCUUGGGGCCAGGACGGAGCACAGCAGUGUAAGUGACUGCCUGGCAAACUCAAGUCCUGGGUUUGAUUCCUGGUACCAAAAAUAACUGCUUCCAGCUCUGCAGGGUGCUGUGGUUCAGAGCCAGGCUCAGAAGCCCCGAGUCAACUCAUCCUAUACUAGGAAGGAAAUACACCCAAACGGGAAAGGGGGAGGGGAAGGGAGAGGAGAGGAAAGGAAAGGGUGGGGCGUUAGACUGGAGCACCUGGUUCCAUGAUGAGCCGUCUCUGUAGAAGCGGUGAAUCCCUUGGCUGGCUCUCACCCCAGAUGGGCGACCUGCUGCCCCAGCUCCCAGUCCUGAGGCUGUUGCCUCCGGGAUACCUUGGCAGCUGCUGCCGCUUGAGCUCCCGGCACCGAGGUAAACAGCUGCACCUAGUUCCUGGUGGUGACGCCUGCUUUAGGGAUUAGAAACAGGUGCCAACUGCACAGGGCACCGACGGUGGAUCCCUGCAGGAAAAAAAUCUCUCACUCCACACACUGAGGGUCACCACCACCACGUGGGGACUUGGCCGAGGGCUCCCCAGCCGCUCUGAACCCUACAGCUGUAGCUGCCCUACAGUGACACGUGUGGUAACUGUGGUAACCCAAGCUGUGUACGCAGAGAGCCUCCGGGUGCCCCCCUCUCCCGGGACCCAAGAACACAAGCACCACAGUGACAGCAUGGGUUUCAUGUGCACCGAUACCUCUUUAAUAUAGAGAGCUCUACAACAGAUACCUCUAGGAACUUUACAAUUAAAUUAGGUCCAUAAUUCCUCUAUGCUACUUUGGUCUCUAUAUUUGAACAGCACAGCAAUUAAUUCUGAAGAUACACAAUCAAACAACAGGAUCCCAUUUACAACAAGCACAUUGCAUAGCAGACUAAAGACACAUUCAACCAUGCAGUCCAGUGUCAAUACCUAAACGAUAAAUAAUGCUUUUAUUCCAAAACAUCUCUGAAAACCGGAAUAAGCUUUUAAGACUCAGUGCUCACAAACAUGCAGAAAAAGGGGUACAUUUCCAUUCUUCCUGAAGGAAUGUUACAGAAUGCCCGCUUUUUUUUAAACACAGGAUGGGUAAUUACACCAAAUUCUAGUAUUUUUCACUGCUCUGCCUGCCUUCCAGUGUCUGUCAUCAGCCUGCCCCACAGCACCAGUGUCCUGCCGGCUGGGAGGGGAAGGGACAUGGGCUCUCUCCAUGUGGCACUGGACACCACUGGGCCGAGCAACCGUCCCCAGUGGAAGAGCGACCCCCAGUGGACCAGGGUCACUAGGCCCAGCUCAGCCCAAGUCUGUCGAGGCCUGUGGCCGCAUCCUCACACUUACCUAGGCACCGUCCCCUUCUUCCCGCUUACGACACUCUCUGUGGGCUCUGGAGGAUGCAGAGACUGAGGCUGGAGGGGCCAGAGGUGGUGUGGCUGCUUCUCUGUCUUGGCCCUUCCUGGCCAGGGCUGGCAUCCAGGCCAGGCAGACGCACAUGCCUGCAGAAGGGCGACCCCAGAGCUCUGCCAGCACCAGCCUUUGGGGCUCUCAGUCGGGGCUGAAGGUGCACAGGGCUGCACCCAUGAGCAGGGAGCGCCCAGCCACAGCUAAGGCCGUGCUGCUCACCACGGAGGGUGCACGUUCCAGCAAGGACCACUGCAGUGUCUGAAAAUGCACGCUUAAAAAUCAGUCUGAAUGUGUGGCUACGCACGUUAUGGUCAAGAGUAAAAACCUCGGCUGCACGAGCGCUGCCCUGUGUGAUGUGAACACUCACAGCACGGAACGUAGCCCAGUGAUGGUGCCAAGGCUGACUGUUACUGAGCCCCAGGGGCGAGGCUACUACGUGUAACUGCUUGGAAAACUGGAAAGAAAUUUCACAGGUUAAAAAAAAUAAAUUAAAAAAAGAAAAAAAAAA
Cavia porcellus (domestic guinea pig) is the source of this 4958-nucleotide long non-coding RNA. RefSeq lists it as uncharacterized. The record is from RefSeq and is a predicted model, not a curated record. The transcript has 3 exons. NCBI's taxonomy places the organism in Eukaryota, Metazoa, Chordata, Mammalia, Rodentia, Caviidae.